Molecule: long non-coding RNA, 583 nt
Organism: Helianthus annuus (common sunflower)
Lineage: Eukaryota; Viridiplantae; Streptophyta; Magnoliopsida; Asterales; Asteraceae
Exons: 3
Source: RefSeq, a predicted model, not a curated record
CGCCCCAAAACCCAAAUGUUUAUAUCGUCGUAUGUUCCUAUAGGACAUAACAUGAGAUAAAUAACUAGGCUAUUGAACCUAGUUAAAAGGUGUAGCUAAGAUUAAUAAAGGUAGUGUCAGUUAUGUUUUAAAAGGCAAACCCGAGGGACUAGAGUGGAACAAAUGAAAGUUGACUACUAAUUAAAAGGUCAAUACACACACAAACACACACAUACGUGCGUGUUCUUGAAGCUUCAGGAGCUCUCAAGAGCUCCAAACCCUAGUUCCACUAAAUCAUCAAAUUAAAGGGGUGAAUCGAAGCCCAAAUUCAAGAAGGAGCACGGAUUAACGAUCACCUUCAUGAGGGGAUCAUAAGGAAUCACAUUAGCAUGGAUUCAAGCAUGAAAGGCUAACGAGUCAAGAGGAGACAAGGAAGCGGCUACGAACACGGAUGCACAAGGUUAUACGGAUAAUGGGCGGAUUAUCACAAGAAUUAGAGAUCGAAGACCGAGUCACGAGAUAGAUUGUACGGGAAUAAUUAAGUAUGUACUAUUAGUAAACAUGACUUGUAUUUUAUCUUUGUAAAAGAUACAUUUUUAAAACG